This 1977-nucleotide long non-coding RNA is filed under the name Anser brachyrhynchus (Pink-footed goose). RNAcentral's name for it is "lncRNA (ENSABRG00000012378.1)". The record is from RNAcentral. Lineage: Eukaryota; Metazoa; Chordata; Aves; Anseriformes; Anatidae.
GGGUGAGGGAGUUAUUUGGUGUCUACUUUCCUAUCAAUUCUGCCCCUCUGUUUCUCUAGCAACCUGACCGCGUAGAAUGAGUGGAUUUGCAGCAAGACAGUUAAAAUAGCAAAGGAUGUAGCAAUCUAACAGAGGAAAGAGAGCUGUGUAAAAAUAUUUUGCUGUCAUAUACGUAGUUUCACUCCCCAGUAUGUACAUAUACCUUGUAGAAUUGAUGAUUUAUGUGAUCAAAAAAGAGAGCUACUUCUGAUAAAUCAGGUUACAGCUUUUCCAGCCUGUGCAUUUACCUAAGAAAAGGGCAUAAAGUAAAACAUAUGCUACUUUAUAUACAGGGAAGACUUCUGGAAAGUUAGCAACAAAGCCAGCUUUAUUACUGUUGAAUAGCUUUCUUCCCAGAGGGCGGGGGGAUUAAUGGAGCCCUCCACAGAGGAGAGGUGAUGGGCAUCUGGUAACCAUCUCCAGACAUAAGCCUACUCACCAUCAUCUUCAUCUUUCAGACCAUGAGCUAGCAGGAUGAGGCCUUGCAGUUUGUUCAUGGAUGUCUCUCAGAACAAGACAGGGACAUUUAACCUACAUGAGAGAUCAACCAGUAAAUCCAGAGUUCUGGGUGGAAUCGAUACAGGCAAACAGCAAUGAGAGGCUGAGGGUGUCUUUGCUGGUCCCACAAAACAUGUAGAGAUGUGGACAAGGAAUUGGGAUUGCAGGACCUGGCAGUUUUCUGGAGCACUGGAGGAUUCCACAGGAGCUGCCCCCAGAUGCCUUCUGCAUUGCCUGGACCUGGUGCUUCCAGCUGUCAGCUCUGGAGCUGAUAUAGCAGCCCUGUGUUUGAGCAGCUGCAGCCCCGGGAAAGUUGUCUUACAGAGUGAAAGGACACCCAGGCUUCUGGCAGAACUGCCAGGUGGCCUCACAGGAGCUACUGUGGGAAUGUUUGGUAACAGAAUGAGGACACAAGCAAUAGCAGAAAAGGAAAGAUCACGUCAUCUUUGGCAUUCUUGGUCCUUGCUUCUAUUCCAGGGAGACCAAAGUUUAGGACACAAUCACAGGAUGAGUUCAGAGUGUUCAUUUCAUCAAGCCAUGAUAAUUGACAGGGUUGAUAAACUAAUACCUACGUGGACAUAGGACAUCAGUUCUGGGAACAGCUGUUUGUGACUCCUGUUUUCCUGGAAGGGCUUUCACCAGAUAUGCUGCAUUUCAAGAGUGCCUUCAGGCUCUGACAGAUGUGCCUGGCCGACCUGCGGUGGCGUCCCCCUGGUGCCUGCUGGGGCAGGGGUGGGAAGGAGCUGGCAGAGGGCAAGCAGAGCAGUCUGGCCACGCAUCUCCUGCUGCCGCUCUGGCUUUUCAGGGUGGUAGGAGCAGCUAGUGGAGGGGAAGCCACGAGGCAUAUGACUGCCUCUGGUUGUUUCCCUCUCUUUUUGCUCUCCUCAGUGCCUGGAGUCAGAAACUCAAAUGGGAAUGUUUUUCUGUUUUAAGAAGUACAUGUAUGUUUGUUUUCUGUGCUCUUCUGCUGUCUGCAGCUGGGCUUCUGGCACGUAUGUAAAGAUAGCAUAAAUCUAAGAGCUGAUCACAUGUAAUGAUUAUUAUCCGGUGCCACUUCUGAGGUAUCCUGGAAGCAUAUCCCAUCACACAGUCAUCUUUUUCCUGUGCUUCAGUGUUAUUAGCAGAGAUAGCCCAUGUUAUCUAGGUUACAUGUAUCAAAACAUACCAAGUUAAAACUAGGCUUUUAAACUAGUUUUAGCAGAACCAAUUUUACAUUCCCUGUAACUGGCUUCUUUUAUACCACGUGUCUUACCACAUGUAAGCCAUGUGUCUUACUGACAGUGACACGAUGAAAUGCAUGUAACCUUUUUUUCAACAAUGUCAACAGAUAAAUGAUUAAGGUAAAUACAGCCAAGCUGUUACAUGAAGAUUUUCAUGACAACUGCAUUUCUUGUACUUUGUAUCAAUAAAAACUAGUAUUCAUAACUUAGUCUAUUAAAA